This is a long non-coding RNA of Octopus sinensis (East Asian common octopus), 127 nucleotides long. RefSeq lists it as uncharacterized. The transcript is spliced from 3 exons. NCBI's taxonomy places the organism in Eukaryota, Metazoa, Mollusca, Cephalopoda, Octopoda, Octopodidae. The record is from RefSeq and is a predicted model, not a curated record.
UAGUGUUGAUUAGUUGUAAUUACAUUAUAUUUAAUAUUUGUUAUCAUUUUUUAGUGGGCGAUUAUCAAUUAGCUUACAUCAAAAAUGGCUGGAAAAGGUUGAGAACCACUGACAUACAUGAUGGAGA